Molecule: ribosomal RNA, 2240 nt
Filed under: Euglenaformis proxima
Lineage: Eukaryota; Euglenozoa; Euglenophyceae; Euglenales; Euglenaceae
Description: bacterial SSU rRNA
Rfam family: Eukaryotic small subunit ribosomal RNA
Source: RNAcentral
UUACAUCAGCAGUCAUCCCCGCGACAGAGUGUGGGCGGCGCCGUUACCCCAAAGCCAGGCGCCCGCAGGACAUCCUCCAAAACCUGGUGGCUAAUACACGAACGCCAAGGUCGACCGCGCCCAUCCCGCCGGCGGUUCACCCCAGCCCGACGAGGGCGGUGGAUUGCGCCCAGCCGCUAGUGAAGACCAGCGCCCGGCAAACGGCAGUGUGUGCAGGUUGACCCAGGCUGGCCCAGCAUAUCGGGCAGUCUCGCUGGCAGAGUUCGGCGACCCCCACCGGGGCCGCACGGCAUCGCUUGGUCGCACGGAACUUCUGACCUAUCAGCCUGGACUGUGGUGUCGUGGACCCCAGUGGCUCUGACGGGUGACGGAGAAUCAGGGUUCGAUUCCGGAGAGGGAGCCUGAGAGACGGCUACCACUACCAAGGUGGGCAGYAGGCGCGCAAAUUGCCCAAUGCAGACACCUUCCCCCAGCGAGGCAGCGACGAACGGCAGCGCUUSCGCCUGUCYUCUGUGACCAGCGGAACCCGGAAUGGAUGCGAUCCAAACACAGCGAUGAGUAUCAACUGGAGGGCAAGUCUGGUGCCAGCAGCUGCGGUAAUUCCAGCUCCAAGGGCGUAUACUAACAUUGCUGCUGUUAAAACACUUGUAGUCGGCCGCUGGGCGCGGGYCCACCGGGGGCCGUCCCCGUGCGUGCGUGUGCUGCGGUUGGUGCCUCCGUCGCCGGAUCCGUCCGUGCGCSGUCGCGCCGCCCUCACCGCCGUGCGUGGGGCGGGUCUCAAMCCCCGGCGGUAUGUCCCCGUGCCCGUCMCUCCUCCGAGUCGAUGGCGRGAGCCGCUCCUGCUCCAAGUCCCCUUCAGURGGGGCCACGGCGGUCUAUGCACYCCACGSCUGCCAGGACGCAGCAGGGAGCCCGGCCUUCGCGCCGGGCAGAGAUCCCYGGUCCCACCACCGGAGCCCGCCGUCACUGCCACCGUGGAAADCUCAGUGUGCUCAAGGCGUCCAUCACCGUUAGGCUGGAUGCUCCUCCAUKGAAUGUCAAAGYAUCGACCGAAGUGUGGCCUGUGGAGUUGUGCUGGCCUUGGYGUCCAUUGCGGAGAACUSUGGCUCCCGCUYCCCCUCGGCCCCCCURCCGUGCGCGCGGCGGCGSCGGCGCGUGUCGGGCGGUCUGGGUGCGGUGUGCGUGCGUCGGCCUCAGGCUGCCGCGCCGCCCCAUCCACCCCCGUGCGUGCCACCCCGCCCUGCGUCCCGCGGGGCCCGCGGGCGGCUGCGUGCGCCGAUCGCCCCUGACGGGGCUGCUCAGGGUGAAAGACACGGCAUCGCCAGAGGUGAAAUUAUUAGACCGUUGCAAGACCAACGGCAGCGAAGGCGUUCUGCAAGGGCACGUCCGUCGAUCAAGAAUGUGAGUGUGGGGAGCGAAGAUGAUCAGACACCGUCGUAGUCCACGACCGUCAACCAUGCCAGCCCGGUGACAGUGCUGCAAGUCCAACCUACAGCAUUGGCGCCAUGCCCCCUGCAUCGAGAAAUCCAAGCCUUUGGGUUCAGGGGGGAGUACCGUCGCAAGGCUGAAACUUAAAGGAAUUGACGGAAUGGCACCACAAGGCGUGGGUUAUGCGGCUUAAUUUGACUCAACACGGGGAACGUUACCAGGUCAGGACGUCGCCAGGAUGGACAGACUGAGAGCUCUUUCUUGAUCCGAUGGAUGGUGGUGCAUGGCCGCUCCUGAUUGGUGGAGUGAUUUGUCUGGUUGAUUCCGAUAACGAGUGAGACAUCUGCCUCCCAGUAAGCCUGGGCCUCGCAUCUGUAGGGCCGGGGCUCGCGUGUGCCACCGUCGCCGCUGGGUCACACACACCCUCCCGUUCCCCCCGGGGCGCGGGGGCGGGCGUGUGUCGGUCCGGUCGCGGGGGGAUGUGCCGCCGAGUYGAAACCCCGCCCGAGAGCGCCCCAGUUCCGUCGCUUCUCUGAGGUGCUGUGUACGCUGCCAAGUGCACGCAUGCUAGAGCCAACAGCAGGUCUGUGAUGCUCCCAGAUGUCCUGGGCCGCACGCGCAACACAUUGACACAGUGAAGGUGCCGUACCGAACCCCUCCCCGCCGUCACCGGCGCGGGACCCUGCCCGGACGUGGGUGGGCAACCAUGCGAGACUGUGCUGUGCUGGGGAUAGAUGAUUGCAACUGUCUGCCUUGAACGCGGAAUGCCUAGUAGGCGUGGGUCAUCAGCCCACACCGAUUGUGUCCCUGCC